Molecule: long non-coding RNA, 4904 nt
Filed under: Salmo salar (Atlantic salmon)
Lineage: Eukaryota; Metazoa; Chordata; Actinopteri; Salmoniformes; Salmonidae
Description: lncRNA (ENSSSAG00000102241.1, ENSSSAG00000106730.1)
Source: RNAcentral
CGCAUGUUCCCUUAGACGUGUGCUGUUAAGCUUAUGAACACUUCAUUUUUUUUUUCUCUCUCUUUCUACUUUGUUGGCUGGAUGAGCAAAUACCAUCUGACAGGUUGCAAAGGGUUUUUACACUAUGGGGAGGUGGGUUGGGCUUAUGUGUGUUAGAGCGCAAGCCACAGAGAUUGAUGCAUUUCGACAGCUGUGUGUGUGUUGGGCAAGUCUGCAGAUCUGGUUGGGUGAGACCGGGCUAUAUAAAAGGGCGGAUCACAAAUCGGAAGCUUUCUCCGUAGUUCCAGUCUCCCGUCACACUGUUGGGUACCCAAACUACCCAGGUGCUCUUUGGUUGGCUGGGCGCUAGAUGGUUGGAGUUUAGCCCGGCCAGUUGGAGUAGCAGCCACAGGAUCUUUACCACCACAGAGCCUGUGGAAGGUGUGGAAGAUCCAACUGGUAUUUUUUUUUUUAUUUUUUUACGACUGCAUUCCGGACCACUUUUUGCCCUGGAGCAAGUCGGAAACCCUGAAUUUCAAGUCAUUUUUAUUUGCCGCGUUCCUCCUUUUUGCCUGAACAAAAGGGUGUAAUCGCAACCAGGUUGGCAGAUGAAUCCCUCACGUUUCUACCUUCCCUGCACACUGCCAGCUUUUCCCCUUGCCUCCCCAGUGAAAUUGUUGUUAUUGAUGCGAUGUUCACGGAUUGGAGAACUUCGACAUAAGACCCACGUUAUUGGUCAUGGAGAGAGAUACAUUUAGAUGGUGGCAUAAUGAGUUAAUUAGGAUCUCUUUAGUGCUGGUGUUGGUCCCCCCCACACACAGCUGGUCCUGUUUACUUGACAUGUGAGUUGGAGCACUAUCGCUCAGUUUUCCGCAUCUCGCAGAAAUGUACUUCAAAGCAAGCCACUCAAGCAGUUGGAAGUAAAGAAAAAAUACAAUUGAACACUUUUUAAAGUCCUGAAUUUAGUGUUUGGAGGGAAUUCCUUAAAUUGGCAUGAUGACAAUCAAGAUCACCACUCAUUACAUGUGAUUAUCUUCAGAGGCUGAAUGAAUUUAACGUUUUUCGACUCGAGUCCAAGUUCACGGCUUCGUGAAUAACAGCAUUGUUUCCCUCGUCAGAUCUAGUUCAGACAUGCUGAUUGGGGGUUAUUACAUUUUUUUUUUUUUUUUUUUUAAGGUUCUGAGAAAUGGUGUCGGGUCCAAAACCAGACCAGAUGUUAGUUCUGAUCUGGAUGGGUUUGUCUGUAACGAGACUAGACUACACGGGAUAUGACCAGAUCAGGAAGACUGGGUUUGUUCAUAGUCCUCGCCUCAGGCAAGAACUGUUCCCUUCCUCAAAGCCGUUCAGAUGGUUUGAGUUUAUUUGCAAGCAUAGAAAACUGCCUCGUUUCUCAUUAUGCCAGUCUGUCGCCGGUAUCAAACUUGAAGAGAGGCUUUGGUUUCAUUUGUCUCCAGACCAGACCUGCAUCAACACACCACUGCCCAAAGAAACCAACCCCAGAUCUACUACAGACAUGAUCAUCAGACUGGGCAGGCUGACCCCUGGAUACUUCCGCCUCCUACAGAGACAGGUGGCCGGUGAGGUGCAGACCCAGCCACAGGACCGCGCGGUCAACCAGAUAGCCAUGAUGCUGGCCAUCAUGGGCCUGAGCCUGUCCUACUACAGUGCCAAACGGAUGACCGAGAAGGUCCAGAGGCUCCAGAAGAGAAGAGAUCCCCAUACACCCUGAAGAGACCCCUCCCCCCAGUGCGCCGGUCCUCUUUGAACCUGGAGAGAAGACGAACCAACGCGAAAACGAGGAGAGGAGAGUUGACAGUGUCGGUGUCCAGAACAACACCUUUUCACAACCAAUCAGUCAUAGUCACGUCGUUCAGACACUGGAGUUUUACUGGGAUCACUCUCAAUGCGAGGAGAGUUCGGGGUCUGCUGUUGUUAAGGGUAUCUUAAUUUUUCACCCCAAUGGAUGUUGGGAGGACCUUGUGGGGGAGUGUGUAUGUGGGAAAGGCUGACGGUGGGGUUCGUGUGGUCCUGAUAAAGUUUGGGGGGUAAAAAGUACAACCAUCUGUCUAUGGUCAGGCUGGGCCCGUGCUUCAGUCGUUGCCAAGGUACAUGCGUGCAGGAUGCCGUCAAUACUGUUCUGAGCUAAAAAGGAUAAAGAAAUGCUAAACUAAUUAUUCUAAUGUACUGUGAAUCUCUUGCCAGUGCUCCAAGUAUAUGACAGCUUGUCUAAAAUAACUGAGCGGUAAUUAUUUUUGAGGGAAUGCUUUCUGCAUUUGAGAUGUAUCUAGUAAUGACUGAAGGUGGGCCUGUAGUGUGGCUGAAAGUGGGGAGAAAGGAACCCUCUUAGGUUUUUGUAAUUCCUUUAUUGUUAAAAAAAAUUAAAGUGAGCCAUGUGAACUAGAUGUGGAGGAGUCUCAAACUGGUCAAUAAUUCCACACAUGUUCAAUAUCUGUUAAUGUCAGACACAAACAACCGUACAUUACUGGUGAAAUGCAGUAUUUUAACGUUUUGGGAAGUUGCUUAUCCAAAUCUACGAAGAAAAAAAAGGCACGUAAAUCAGUCUUGAUAAAAAUGGGUGGCUUUCUUUUAAAGAACUCGAUCUGCAAUAGCUACUAGGUGUUACCACAAAUAUUCUAACUUCAGUAAACGUUGCAUGGGUAUGCAGCUUUUAAUAUCUUCGUUAAUACUGUCACGUUUUAGUUUUUUAAAGGACGAUGACCAUGAAUGUAUAUUUCUGUGAUGUUUUAUAGAAAUCGAAUAAAGCUGUGACUUGAAUAAUAAGAACCGUGGCAGUUUAGUAAUGAUUUUAAGGUGUUUGGGAAUUUUGGAAAAACCGACGUGAACAAGCAUUUUAUCACAAUAUUUAUAUUUUGUUAAGGGGAACUUCUUUAAUCUCUAAAUUUUUCUGUGAAACGAUGAUAUUGCCCCACCAUUUCAGCUCAAUAGCUGCUUGGUUGGAUUUGGCAUAAUAGACUCUGUAGCACCACUUCCUGUAUCAUAGGGUGUCUGGUGUCCGCAGGAGCGUGCCGUCUGCACGCAACAGGAAGUGUUCAGGCCUCCAGACAGUCGUUGUCUUCAUCAUAACUGGGGCAUCUGUAUCUGUCUGUAGUCUGUACCAGUUUGCCCUCAGGGAAAGUCGCAGGGCAAAGUUUUAAUCUAUACCGAACAAAAAUAUAAACGCAAUAAUUUCAAUGAUUUUACAGUUCAUAUAAGGAAAUCGGUUUAUUGAAAGAAAAUUGCCCCUAAUCUAUGGAUUUCACAUGACUGGGCAGGGGUGCAGCCAUGAGUGGGCCUGGGAGAGCAUAGGCCCACCCACUUGGGAGACUGGCCCAGCCACUGGCAGCCAGGCCCAGCCACUGGCAGCCAGGCCCAGCCAAUCAGAAUGAGUUUUUCACCACAAAGGGCUUUAAUGCAUACAGAAAUACUCCUCAGUUUCAUCAGCUGUCCGGGUGGCUGGUCUCAGACGAUCCCGCAGGUGAAGAAGCCAGAUGUGGAGGUCCUGGGCUGGCAUUGUUACACGUGGUCUGCGGUUGUGAGAUCGGUUGGAUGUACUGCUAAUUCUCUAAAAUGACGUUGGAGGCGCCUUAUAGUAGAGAAAUUAACAUUAAUUUAUCUGGCAACAGCUCCGGUGGACGUUCUUGCAGUCAGCAUCCCAGUUGCACGCUCCCUCAAAACUUGAGACAUCUGUGGCAUUGUGUUGUGUGACAAAACUGCACAUUUUAGAGUGGCCUUUUAUUGUCCCCAGCACAAGCUGCACCUGCGUAAUGAUCAUGUUUAAUCAGCUUCUUGAUAUGCCACACCUGUCGGGUGGAUGGAUUAUCUUGGCAAAGGAAAUAUGCUCACUAACAGGGAUGUAAACAAAUUUGUCCCCAAAAUUUGAGGUAAAUACGCUUUCUGUGCAUUUGGAAAGUUUCUGGGAUAUUUUAUUUCAGCUCAUGAAACAUGGGACCAACACUUUACAUGCUGUGUUUAUAUUUUUGUUCAGUAUGUUUUGCUUUUACUGUCAGACAGUUUAUUAAUACAGAAAAUCAGUCAAAUCUGAAUUGUUACUGUAUGUUCUCCAAUGGCACUCAUUUUAGAACGUGUACAGAUUAUAAAUCCUGAGGGUUGGAGGAAGACUCAUGCACUGGUUAAACAUCAGCGCCAUUCUGAGGCCCUCCCUUGUCUGUUCCAUGUUCUCUACAGAAUGUUCUCUUCUAUAGCUGGGUAGACUGUAUAGAAGCUAUGCAUCUGAGGUACUUCUAGCAUGACCAUGUUAGGGAGGGUGAGAGGAUAGAGUAGUGGUGACUGGUGAGGACUUCAGAUAAGAGGGACGGGGGUUGAAAGCUGUUUGUGUAUGGCUUGUUGAUUCACCAGUCCAGUUCUUUAUACAGGUUAUUUUGAAGAAUGCUGAAGUCUUGUCAGUACUAAAUAAGAAAAUUGUUGGAAUGGCACACUCGUGAGUUGGUACAAUGGAUCUAAGGAAUAGUUUAUUUCCUCAUUGUCUUCCUUUAGAGUUUAGGAAGAUGAGUAUAAAGGAGAUAGAUAUUGAGCUCUGAAAAAAUAUAUAAGUUAUAAGAAUGUUUUCAUGAUCGAAGGAUCAUUGCUUGCUUUUAAGUGAUGUUUGUCAGAACUAGGAUAAAGUAUGUCUAGUGUUAGAAUGUUCAAUGUUGAGUGGUAUGGAAUUUGUGUUCAAAUAGUUAUAUGAAUAGGUUUAACCUGUCGCAUAAUAGAGAAGUCUGAAUUGUACUUGUUUUGGUUGGCUUUUGGAAACCAGUCUGAUAGAUUAGCCCCAAGCCACCAAUAGCAAUAAUGAAACUGUUAGCACUUUUAGCAGUAGACAUAAUAUUGUCGAUUUCCCUCCGAAUUAUCUUCAGUCAGGCGGAUAGCUUGAUCAACUGGGGAUCACACCAAAAUCGCUUUGUUUAUUCAUCGCGAGCCCAGAG